GACCGGGGCGCUUCCGGUGCUGAUGUGGCCGGAACCCCGGCGGAGCUUCGGAGCGAAAAACUUAACGGCUGAAGCAGCUGAGUGACCCCCCCCCCCAAAAGAAGAAACCAACCUGCACCUCUGCGGCCUUUUGGAGACCCCCGGCUGCUUGCAAGCUGUGACUCCUUCCUUUUCUGGACCUUCUCUGCUCCUUUUAUGCUCCAGCUGACGACCUCCUCCUUCUCCCUCUGUGCCGCGGGUUGCCUGGAGGGUGAAGAUGCUCAGCCGUUUGUCAGGGCUGGCCACCACUGUCCUGCACGAGCUCUCGGGGGAUGGAGAAGAUGCUGGGACAGCACCGUCCCCCGCUGGACCGGAGUUUGAACCCAGCCAGCAGAAUGGGGAGGAGACCCCAGAGGACGUCCUGGAACGGCUGGCCCACAUGGAGAAGCUGGUGGCGCAACUGAAGACCCUG
Molecule: long non-coding RNA, 451 nt
Organism: Thamnophis elegans (Western terrestrial garter snake)
Lineage: Eukaryota; Metazoa; Chordata; Lepidosauria; Squamata; Natricidae
Exons: 3
Source: RefSeq, a predicted model, not a curated record